UACGGAGGGUGCAAGCGUUAUCCGGAUUCACUGGGUUUAAAGGGUGCGUAGGUGAGGUGGUAAGUCAGUGGUGAAAUCUCCGAGCUUAACUUGGAAACUGCCAUUGAUACUAUCAUUCUUGAAUAUUGUGGAGGUCAGCGGAAUAUGUCAUGUAGCGGUGAAAUGCUUAGAUAUGACAUAGAACACCAAUUGCGAAGGCAGCUGGCUACACAUAUAUUGACACUGAGGCACGAAAGCGUGGGGAUCAAACAGG
RNAcentral lists this ribosomal RNA (253 nucleotides) under uncultured bacterium. RNAcentral's name for it is "partial 16S ribosomal RNA". It matches the Rfam family "Bacterial small subunit ribosomal RNA", at positions 524 to 776 of the family's 1533-position model. The record is from RNAcentral.